Molecule: long non-coding RNA, 798 nt
Organism: Vidua macroura (Pin-tailed whydah)
Lineage: Eukaryota; Metazoa; Chordata; Aves; Passeriformes; Viduidae
Exons: 3
Source: RefSeq, a predicted model, not a curated record
GCCCCGAGGCGCGGCCGCGCUGAGGGCGGGGGGGGACGCGGCGCUGCCCGUCCCCUCCUUCCCUCCCUGUUCCUUUCCUUCCCUCCCUGUUCCCCUCCUUCCCUCCCUUCUUCCUUUCCUUCCCUCCCUCCCGGCGCGGCUCCUCGCAGGCGGACCCGGCGCCGGUGAGGAGCGAGGCAGGAUCGGCCCCCGGGCACGGGCGACUUUGGAGGGGGGCAGGGACACCUCCCACUAUCCCAGGCUGCUCCAAGACCCGUCCAACCUGGCCUUGGAAACUUCUAUGGAUGGAGCAUCCACCACUUCCCUCCCAUGGAGCCACUAUCAAAUCUGCCACAGAUUUGAGGUUUAAAUACAGAAGAACAGGGACUGCAGUGAAACACAGGGCCUUCAGAGGAAUCAAUGCAGAAAUAGAGACGAGCAUCAUCUAAUGAAGGUGUGUUUAAUGUUCAGCGCUUCAGCCUGGAUUAAAUAGCCAAGUGAGGAACUGCCUCGUGUCUCAGGAGGUUGGGCACCCUCCACUCCAGUGGCAGCUGGAGCUUCCCAGCCUUCCUGGGUAAGCCACAUGCUUCCACAUGGGGUAAAUGGGGACUUCAGUCCCUAAGAGCCCAGUUUGGGAAAUCUGCUAAUUAAAUAGUCUGGGCAAACACAAUCAUCAUUGUCCUUAGAGCCAAAGCAGCGAGAUGUUUCUCAACAAGCACAGACCCUCCCCGGAAUUUUCUGAGCUGUCUGCGUGUUGCUGACAGUUAUAGAGAAUAUAUUCAGAUUAUACAACUUGAUGUUCACCCCGGGUUAUUCUCU